RNAcentral lists this ribosomal RNA (248 nucleotides) under uncultured bacterium. RNAcentral describes it as "partial 16S ribosomal RNA". It matches the Rfam family "Bacterial small subunit ribosomal RNA", at positions 524 to 770 of the family's 1533-position model. The record is from RNAcentral.
UACGUAGGGUGCGAGCGUUGUCCGGAAUUAUUGGGCGUAAAGAGCUCGUAGGCGGUCUGUCGCGUCGAUCGUGAAAACUUGGGGCUUAACCCUGAGCUUGCGGUCGAUACGGGCAUGACUGGAGUUCGGCAGGGGAGACUGGAAUUCCUGGUGAGCGGUGAAAUGCGCAGAUAUCAGGAGGAACACCGGUGGCGAAGGCGGCGCGUCUGGGCUGGAACUGACGCUGAGGAGCGAAAGCGUGGGUAGCA